AGAGUUUGAUCAUGGCUCAGGACGAACGCUGGCGGCGUGCUUAAUACAUGCAAGACGAGCGAAGAUUGCAGCAAUGUAAUCUUAGCGGCGGACGGGUGAGUAACGCGUGGGCAAUCUGCCCUCUAGCCUGGGAUAACAGUUCGAAAGGACUGCUAACACCGGAUAUGCUCACGACCCGGCAUCGGGUCGCGAGGAAAGUUUACACUAGAGGAUGAGCCCGCGUCCCAUUAGCUAGUUGGUGAGGUAACGGCCCACCAAGGCGACGAUGGGUAGCCGACCUGAGAGGGUGAACGGCCACACUGGGACUAAGACACGGCCCAGACUCCUACGGGAGGCAGCAGUAGGGAAUUUUCCGCAAUGGGCGCAAGCCUGACGGAGCAACGCCGCGUGAGGGAUGAAGGUUUUCGGAUCGUAAACCUCUGUCUUCAGGGACGAUAAUGACGGUACCUGAGGAGGAAGCCACGGCUAACUACGUGCCAGCAGCCGCGGUAAUACGUAGGUGGCAAGCGUUGUCCGGAAUUACUGGGCGUAAAGGGCGUGUAGGCGGCCUUUUAAGUCAGACGUGAAAUCCCUGGGCUUAACCCAGGAACUGCGUUUGAAACUGAGAGGCUUGAGGAUCGGAGAGGGCAGUGGAAUUCCCAGUGUAGCGGUGAAAUGCGUAGAUAUUGGGAGGAACACCAGUGGCGAAGGCGACUGUCUGGACGACACCUGACGCUGAGGCGCGAAAGCUAGGGGAGCAAACGGGAUUAGAUACCCCGGUAGUCCUAGCCGUAAACGAUGGGUACUAGGUGUGGGAGGUAUCGACCCCUUCCGUGCCGCAGUUAACACAAUAAGUACCCCGCCUGGGGAGUACGGCCGCAAGGUUGAAACUCAAAGGAAUUGACGG
This 886-nucleotide ribosomal RNA is filed under the name uncultured bacterium. RNAcentral describes it as "bacterial SSU rRNA". It matches the Rfam family "Bacterial small subunit ribosomal RNA", at positions 8 to 916 of the family's 1533-position model. The record is from RNAcentral.